This 151-nucleotide unclassified non-coding RNA is filed under the name uncultured Podospora. Its description in RNAcentral is "sequence contains ITS2". Lineage: Eukaryota; Fungi; Ascomycota; Sordariomycetes; Sordariales; Lasiosphaeriaceae. The record is from RNAcentral.
CAACCCAUCAAGCCCAGCGCUUGUGUUGGAGCCCUGCGGCCGCCGCAGCCUCCCAAAAUUAGUGGCGGGCUCGCUAUCACGCUGAGUGCAGUAGUAUUCUUCUCACUCCUGCGGUGUAGCGGGUAACCAGCCGUAAAACCCUUUUACCUAA